RNAcentral lists this ribosomal RNA (589 nucleotides) under uncultured bacterium. Its description in RNAcentral is "partial 16S ribosomal RNA". It matches the Rfam family "Bacterial small subunit ribosomal RNA", at positions 355 to 937 of the family's 1533-position model. The record is from RNAcentral.
UAGGGAAUAUUGGACAAUGGGCGCAAGCCUGAUCCAGCCAUGCCGCGUGAGUGAAGAAGGCCCUCGGGUUGUAAAGCUCUUUUGUCCGGAAAGAAAAGCAUCGGGCUAAUACCCUGGUGUUCUGACGGUACCGGAAGAAUAAGCACCGGCUAACUUCGUGCCAGCAGCCGCGGUAAUACGAAGGGUGCAAGCGUUACUCGGAAUUACUGGGCGUAAAGCGUGCGUAGGUGGUUUGUUAAGUCUGAUGUGAAAGCCCCUGGGCUCAAACCUGGGAAUGGCAUUGGGAAACUGGCGGACUCGAGUGCGGUAGAGGGGUGUGGAAUUCCCGGUGUAGCAGUGAAAUGCGUAGAGAUCGGGAGGAACACCAGUGGCGAAGGCGACACCCUGGACCAGCACUGACACUGAGGCACGAAAGCGUGGGGAGCAAACAGGAUUAGAUACCCUGGUAGUCCACGCCCUAAACGAUGCGAACUGGAUGUUGGGUGCAACUUGGCACUCAGUAUCGAAGCUAACGCGUUAAGUUCGCCGCCUGGGGAGUACGGUCGCAAGACUGAAACUUAAAUGAAUUGACGGGGUCAUAGCUGUUUCC